Molecule: long non-coding RNA, 1668 nt
Organism: Labeo rohita (rohu)
Lineage: Eukaryota; Metazoa; Chordata; Actinopteri; Cypriniformes; Cyprinidae
Exons: 6
Source: RefSeq, a predicted model, not a curated record
UUAACUGCAGUUUAAACGUGUACAUGCACAUAACAUAGCAUAACAUAACAUAACAUAACAUAAAUAAAUGAAAGUCUUGAUUUUAUAUUAAUUUAAAGAAUAUAAUAUUAAAAUGACCACUCAUUAUAAUAAUAAAAAUUGUACAGAAAUCAUUAUCAUCACUGUCCUGUUAUAUUACUGUGCAAUGCCGCGAGAAAGUUUAUGCAUUUGAUCAUAGUCCCUUUAAGACAAGUCAUUUCACUCGACACCUCCCAGGCAUGCAAGCGCAGCUCCUAUCUCUUUGAAUAAGGAAACAUCAAAUUCUGCAAAACUGUUCAUUAAGCUUUCGAUUAAAUUUCAUAUUCGAAAACACAUUAAAUCUGACAACAACAGUCUUAUAAGAUUUAUUUCUUAUGUUCAAAUACAUUUAAAAAAGCUUUUUAAUGCUAGACCAUCCAAUACACAUGCGCAGUCAUGAGCACGAGUUUUCAAACACUGCCUGUUUCUAUAGGAACCGGAGCUUCUAACGGUCGCUGCAGUGACGUAAUGAAUUUACUAAUCAACGACUGGCUCUUUCAUUUAGAAGGCGGUACUUAUUCGCCUUUACGGACACGUAUGAUGAGCACAAAACAAGUCUGUAACUGGUCGCCAUUUUGUGAGGGUCAUUCAUUCGCGGUUCAAUCAGUUAUGGGGUGAUUCUUGAAUGAUGUCUGUGUCUGUGCAACCAGAGUCGGUUUAUUGUGUGUAUUUAAAUUGUGAUGAAAGUCAGCAUUUGAUCGUCGUUAUUCGCGGACGCACAAAACAACUUUGAACACACACAUCACAAGAAACGUGUCGUCCUAACAUUAAAACUGGUUGUGGACGCCAUGCUUUCCUGAGAGGGUCCUUCGCGGCAGUUUGGUCGGUUAACGAUCUGAUCUCAUCAUCAUCCAGUCUGUCUGGAAUGACAUGAAGAAACAGAACGAGACAGAAUAAAUCCAGAAGAUGUGUGGCAACGUCUUUAAGAUGCUUCAAGAGACCUACCUGCGGAGCUACAGUUUAUCACCUAAGCCUCCUUGGAGGCAAAACACCUGGAGAUGCCAUCCGGAUGGUGUUGCGAACAGUUGGAACAAACAGUGUUUGGUGUCAAUACAGCAUUAAAGGAAGGAAUGGGGGAAGAGCUGGACAUUGCGGCAUGAUCAUUCAGGCUUGCCAAAAGAUGCAUCCAAAAGUGCCAGUUAAGGUGUUAGAAGAGUUCAUCUUGAAGUAUGCUCCCCAUCGUGAGUCAAGGAUGGAGUGUGAAGAGACAGGCCAUGGACCACAGUUCCCGCAGUGAUAGUUUUUCAGCACCCACACACAAUUCAGAAGUUCUCACUGAUUAAAUGUUAAUAUGAUAGUUUACGUUUACCUGUGAAGUUGUCCUUGUCAUGAAUAUUAAACUAAAUGUAAAACUUUUUUACAUGAUAGGCAAUUUUCACUAAUCUGUUUAAUCUGUUAAUGAGGUUUUUUUUGAAAGUGUGCAUCUUUAUUAAUUAAAAUACCUGAAAUGCCUGCAAUGUGCUUGUAUCUGGAAUGUUGUAAUAAUGAUGUUGAAAGAUGAUGUUGCAACACUGCUAAUCUUAAAAUAACAUUUUAUUAAACUAUACUUUGUAAAGUUCCAAAUAAUUGUUUUUAGAACUUUGUAUUUUUAGUAAAAUGUGGGUAAUGUUG